Molecule: long non-coding RNA, 17391 nt
Filed under: Homo sapiens (human)
Lineage: Eukaryota; Metazoa; Chordata; Mammalia; Primates; Hominidae
Description: PREDICTED lncRNA (TCONS_00229675)
Source: RNAcentral
UAACUUCUUUGGAUUUGAAUUUCUUCUGUCAGCAAUAGGAGAGAAGUUCAGUCAGAUGAUUUCUAUCUGUGGGAAUCCAACUUUGACUUGUGGUGAUCCUACCCCUUCCUCAGUCUUUUACAAAUUAAGUGGCCUCCUCACCUGAGACGAGUAGAACUGUAUGCACAGUAAGGCACCAGGACGGAUCUAGACUGGCAAAGAAGUGGUGAGAGAAAUGGGGAAAGGGUUAGGGAAGAAGGGAGAGGACUCUCAACUACAGUCAUAGUGAGACCUUGAGUGCCUCUGCGUUAGUCCUUCCUCUUCCUCUACUCCUUGUGUCUCAGCUGAAGGGCAAACUUCAGGGACAAUCUCAUUUUGUUUCUACCACUGUUCAGGGUCCCACCUUGCGACCCUCUCCUGAGAGGUUGUCCACAACUCUGUCCCACCCCCGUUCUCCAUCUUCUUCCGCCAGAUCUGGGGCUGGGGCAUUGGAGAGGGGAAAGAGGAAACGUCGUGGCUGGCAGGGUAGGAAGGGAUGCGUGUCCAGGUGAGAAAGAGGUGUGACGUGCAGAUGGGAUGCCCGCCGCUAUGACGCUGCCGAGACCCGCGGUGACUGCGUCAGAGUUUCACCCGGGGAGGUGAGCAGCAGCGGGACGGGGGAACGGCGGGGUAGCCAAGCAACGCCGGACGCGCUGACGUCGCCGGGGCGGCAAAACGUCCGCCCGGGCCCGAGGCGGGCGGAGGCAGCUGUGGUUACGUGCGGGGGGCCGGUGACGCAGUCGCGGGGCGCUGGGACGCGGCUUGCGGAGCCGGCCGGCGAGCGCAGGCCCCAGGCUCGGGCGCGGCGGCGGGACAGCACCUACCUUCCCGGCUUCGGGUCCGGGAGUGCGGGGCGCGGAGCCGCCGGAGCGCUGCCUCCCUCCUUCCUCCUCCCCUCGCCCCCGCCCCGCGGCGCGACACACAAUACUCGCCGGAAGCGGAAGCCGCGCCGAGGCUCGUGUCAGUGGAAGCUGGGGUGUCGGCGGGCGGCCGCGGCCGGGUCUAGCGGUGCCUGCGGAAGAAGGAGGAGGAGGGCUGGCGAUGAGAAGCAGCAGGGGGAAUCAAGGGCAAGAAGGGACCCAGAGGGGCAGGUGGCUGAGAUGCUGGCGUCCAGGUGACCCGAGGAAUCCUCUGGAGAUACAGGCCCGCGCAUGCGCGUGCUCGAGCGCUGAAGCCCAUUGCCCGCAGGGCGCUGGACUGGCGCCCCGGCCGGCGAGGCUGUCUAGUCCAGGCUCCAGGCCCCGGCUCUGGCCAGGCGCCGCCGCCUCCCGGUGCAGCUGAAAGUCGACGAAGAGGGCGGGGCGGGGGCGGCUUGUGGACUUCCACACUUUUCCUCUCUUCGGGCCAGUCUGGGGAGAGGGUGGCUAGCUGUGGCGGCGGCCAAUUACGUGGCGGACCUGCGGGGCUAAGCUGGCACGUCACUUCCGACUAGUGGAGUUUUUAGCCUUUUAACAUUCAAGGAUUAGGUAAAAGUCUUGCAGUGAAAAACCCGAGGACCCUUACCGCAAGUGUCUUUUGCUCCCAGCUACUGAUACUGGAUUCCACUCGUGAUUCUCCCUUUCUUAGCGCAUUCAUGAUAUAGACAUCAGUCUCUGAGCUGGAGGAGGACAAAGGCAGCGGUCCUGUGAAUUCUAUGCUCUAGCUUGGGUUAAGGGAUUUGGAAUUGCACUUGUUUCAGAGAGCUCCCUCUUUGCCCACUAGCAGGGCAUUAGCUGGUGCUGAAGACAGUGGCUGCUUGGCGAGCCUGGAUCUCCAAGUGACCCCCUCAGCAACUCCUGAUGAACAGGACUGAAGCCAAUAUUAAAGCAAGUCAACCAAAGGUUCUCUGGUGUAGACAAGACAGCAAAAGGACAGACUACCUUGUGGAACCUAGCAUUGUUCUCCUUCUGCAGCACUAAGUAACAUUUGUUCUCCGUUAAGAUCUUUGCAAACCACACACAAGAAUUGCUGGUCAUCCUGCCAAUAGAUGCUGCUCACAGAACCAAAUUUCCUGUGCUGAAUUGUCACUCAUGGGCUUGAGAGUAGGAGACUGGAGACCAAGGUGGCUAGAAUCCAGUUGGGCCUGAUGUCUCCCUGUUGAAAGGGCUCCUUGUGGAAUGAAUAGCACAUGGCUCCUGUGGUGGAUCUGAUAGUGGCAUAGCACCAAGUGAUGCAGGCCUGCCAGGGGCCACAGACACAGAAGAUGCUCCCGGGGUCCCCCAUGUACUCCAGACACACUGCAGGCCACCUCUCCCAGCAGGUUGCCAGUCAUGGGCCCCAUCAUCAUGACUUCUGUCCAAGGUACUGUGUGCAGAAAUGUGAUUGAGAUUCAAGUCAGGGCCUCUCUGCCCUUUUCCCUCCAGAAACAAAACCAAGAUAAUUUAUCCUGAACACGGUGAAAAAAGGAAGGGAGGGAGGAGAAAAAGUCCGGGUCUCACCUGGGAUUCUCUGUCUCCUGCAACAUGAAGGAUUUAGCCUGGGAGGAGGUGGUGAGAACUCUGGGAGAGAAAAAAGAAGGAAAGAAUAGUUUUACCCAUGCUGAAGUUAAUUUAAACCUUCACCUAGAGAAGCAAAAAAAAAAAACCCACACUUUCCCAUUUUGUGCCUCCCUUCCUAGAGUUUUAGCCAAAGGUUUAGCUAAGUAAUUGGUUUUACCAGCGCACUCACUCCUCCUAUCCCAAGUCUGUUUGACUCCCUCCCCAUCAUCCUCCUCACCUCUUUUCAGGCAGGGUGGGGAUAGCAGCAGGAGGAGAUUUUGGGAGCCUGGCAACUCCUGCAAGGACCGCAGGACAGCCCCUCUGUGGGGAUGCGUGGUGCCCCAUCUGCCGCCCUUCUGAAGAAUGCACUGCCUUCACUUUUUACUGUGUUAGAGUCCAUCCAGACUGUUCUAUCCAAAAAAGUUUCUUUUUCCCCCACAGGCAAUCAGGAAAUGAUUCCUUUCCCGACUGCUUCUGUCUAGUGCCUGGGAAUCUUGAGUCAAUCCCUCAGUAAGUCAGUGACUAGGGAAAUCCCUCUCUGAGCCUCCCAGUUCAUGUUGCUUAGGGAACCUGAUAUUUUCGUGAAACCUGCCUACACAUGGGCAGCCCAACAGCAGAACAAAUGGUGGUGACCAAAGUGAACAAAGAAGUAUAGUUGUGCCAGCUUCGUAGUUGCCCAUGUGGACAAGUCAGCAGGAUCAGGACACGAGGAAGAGUAAAUGUGAGACAGUCAAUGUGACUUCUGCGAUAAACAGAUUUUUAAACCCCGAAAUUUUGCAAAAUUUUGGUGAAACCUGAACUUUCUUCGUUGCAUAUACUGGCACUAUCUGUACCAUCAUACAACUGUCUCACAUUAAAGCUAUUUUUCUUGGGCACUGAUGAGUAAGGUUGGUAUAAGUUCCUCAGAUCAACAAAAACCCAUUUUCCUGUAAGUCUUACAUUUAGUAUUUAAGGAACUAAAACUUAAAUACAUUUUGUGAAAUGGUUGACACUUCACUGAUAAUGAUUUAUUGCUUGGAUUAAUAAAUUUUCCAAAAGUUGUCUUAUGUAGAAUAUGGUUUGCAACCAGCAGAACCAUUAAUCUAUACUGCAAUGAUAUGCACUAUGUAUAAUUGUUUAAAAGCCUCUACUUAAUGAUGUAAAAUGCUCUAUUUAAUUACACAUUUGGGUAAACUGUAUACUAACAUCUGAUGGCAUUUUUCCACUGUUUGUUGCUUUUUUCAAAUACUUUAUUGUACAAAGCUGUUCUUAAUAUUUUUCAAGUUUUUUUCUUUGAAUUUUGCUAAUGUUUUCCUUGAAUUAUGAGCACUGACAGAAUGUGCUUAGCACUUUUGGCUAUUCACACAGCUUUUGAGCAUGAUUUGCAUCCAAUAUUUACAUUGCUAGCAAUAAUAAGCCAUCUGUGAGUUUUGUCAAAAGUUAUUGGGGAUUUUUUAAAUUUUAGAAAUGCAAAUUAUUGUUUCUUUGAACUAACUCUUAUGCAGUUGCAAAGGCAUUUCCAGUUGUUAUAGUUUGUGUACAAUAUCAGGUGUUCCAGAUUAUGAUUCAUUAUUAAUAUCAUUGCUUCCUUGUUCCCUCUGAGGUCCAGAAGAUUCAUGUUUACAAUAUUUAGAAACAAUGUUAAAAAGGUAUCCAAAGUUUGUCACUUUAUUAUUAGUUUGUUCUUAAUAUUCUGUUUAAGUUUUUGAAUUCAUAGAUAUCAAAACGCUGCACAAUUAUGAUUUCCACAGGAAUAACAACACACUAACAAUAAGAACCAAAAACAGCAAAUAGGCUGCCUACAAGUUUUGACAAUAUUAGGAUAAUGAUAAUGACAGUUUUUCUAAAUCUCACAGUAAAGAAUGCAGCAACCCAGCAACACUGCUACCUGUGGCCUCAGGCUGCAGUGUCAGCUCUUCCCUGGGUCUCCAGCCUGCCAGUCUAACCUGAAAAUUAUGUACUUGCCAGCCCCCACAGUCACGUGAGUGAACUGGCCCAGGCUGGUCACCAGGGUCAGUUUCUCUGUGUGUCAUUAAUUCAUUCAGUCUUCAGCAGUCUCUUUGGAGCUGAGAUGUACCUACCAUCUGCCUUUUGGGUGCUUAGGGUGGAGAACCAGAAAAGUAUAACCUAGUGUGUAUCCUCAAAGAGCUAACAAUAUGGGGUGGUACCUAUAGGUCUGGAAACACUUUACUGACUCUGUGAGGCAUACCAGGAGACGUCAGAGAACAGUCCCUCCUCAAAUGCCAAAUGAGAUGCAGAAGAAAUAGUUUGCUCAAGUUCAUGGGCCAGAUAUCCCAGUGGUCAGGGAGUUUCAUGAAUGAGAUGGAACUUUGCAUGGAACCCGAGGGAUGUGUAUGAUUUGAGUAGAUGAAGAAAAUGAGACUUUCCAAGCAGCUAGAAGUUAGGGAGCAGCAAGAUGUGUGGUGGGAUUGAGCACAGUUGGUUCAGAGGAUAGACUGCAGUUUUAAUAAUUUGUAGUAAAUAUCUCCCAACUGUUUGGCACUAUUGGAGCAAGUUCUUGAAUGCCAAAUGAAGGCAUAAAUCAGUAAGAGGCAUAAUAAAAGGCUGAGCAGUGCUUGGCUUUUUACGAACUGAUCCUGAUAGGAGCAGCUGUUCAACAAAGUUGCCAGGUCACCGUUACAUAGUCCCUGCCUUCUAGGGGCUCACUGCCUACUGGGAGAGACAGUCUGAAAGUUGGUGGAGCAUGUAACUGUUGGAUGAGGAGUUUGAGCCUGUGGACUGUGGGACCCCCGAGGAGGGUGUGGCUACUCUAGGCAGAACAAUCCCACAGUUUAUUUAUAUUUAACCUUGAAAUUCAUUAGAGGAUUUUUCAGCAGAGGUUUGGUACUUGUUAAUGUUAAGGUUUGCAUUCUCUAGAACCUCAAGGAAAGCUGUACCGUGCAUAAUGUACCCUCUUAUGUUAAUGUUGUGUACUGUGAUCCUGUUUCAGGGACUUGCACUUAGGAAUCUGUUACAGUGAGCACAGAAGCAGACCUGUGGGCUCAUAGUCUUCACCCCCCACCCAUAUAUACAAGAUGAACAGAGUGGAGGUUAAACAACUUGACUAAACAACACAGUUCAUGGUAAAGCCCAAGACUGUACCUGCCCAUCCACUGCCUUUUCCAUGUAUCCUGGAACUGAGCAUAGACCUCUUCCCAGGCAGAGCUGACAGCAAGUAAAGGAGAUCAUAAUCAGGGGACCAAACAACUUUGUCUAAAGUGUGAAUGUCACCUAAGGAGAAGCUGUGAGAUCAGAAGGGUGGGGCAGAGGAGCAGACACCAUGAGGGAGAGUCCUUGGGGGUACAUCUGCCAGACUGACACUGUCUGGCCUGGGCAGUGGAGGGGCUAGCAGGAACCACAGGUACUGGUGGUGUGGCUACUACCGUUACAACUGCCUGUGCUUGGACAUGGACCCUCUGCAAUAUGCGGCAGUUUCAUUCAUUGCCCCCUACAUUCUACACCAAGUAGAAAUGGAAGGCAAUUGGAUACUUCACAGACAAGAUCUAAGUGGAGAAGGAAUGCGUCCUGUGGCUGCAGAGAUCCUUGGAGCUUGGAGGGGAGAGCUUGAGCCCCACUGAUGAUGACCUCCCACAGCUCGCCAACUCAGCCCUCCCUAAGUCCCCAUCGGGGGCCAAUUCUCACUCUGGGGUUGGGGGGACUCCACCAUAGCUCAUCCAUCAUAGGGAUGUUGGUAUCUACUGUGGGUUGGGUAGGGCCGAUGUGCUGAGGAUGGCUCCCCCACAAGCAAGAGAUGUGGAUUUGGGGAGCUUCCCAUCUUGUGUUGAAGGAACAUAACUCAGAAUAAUAAGAGCCAACUAUAACAAACCCACAGCCAACAUCAUACUGAAUGGGCAAAAGCUGCAGGCAUUCCCCUUGAAAAGUGGCACAGGAUAAGGAAGCCCUUUCUCACCACUCCUAUUCAAUAUAGUGUUGAAAGUCCUGAUCACAGCAGUCAGGCAACAGAAAUAAUAAAGGGCAUCCAAAUAGGAAGAGAGGAAGUCAAACUAUCCUUGUUUGCAGACAGUAUGAUUCUAUAUCUAGAAAACCCCAUAGCCUCAGCCCAAAAGGUCCUUCAUCUGAUAAUUUCAGCAAAGUUUCAGGAGACAAAAUCAGUGUACAAAAAUCACUAACAUUCCUAUACACAGUCGCCAAGCCAAGAGCCAAAUCAGGAGCACAAUCCCAUUCAUAAUUGCCACAAAAAAGAAUAAAAUACCCAGGAAUGCAGCUAACCAAGGAAGUAAAGGAUCUCUACAAUGAGAAUCACAAACGCUGCUCAAAGAAAUCAGAGAUGACACAAACAAAUGGAAAAACUUUCCAUGCUCAUGGCUAGGAAGAAUCAAUAUCAUUAAAGUGGCCAUACUACCCAAAGCAAUUUAUAGAUUCAAUGCUAUUCCUAUCAAACUAUCAAUUACAUUUUUCACAGAACUAGAAAAAACUUAAAAUUCAUAUGGAACCAAAAAGCCUGAGUAGUCAAGGCAAUCCUAAACAAAAAGAACAAAGGUGGAGGCAUCACAUUACCUAACUUCAAACUACAGGGCUACCAUGACCAAAACAGCAUGGUACUGGUACAAAAGCAGACACACAGACCAGUGGGACAGAAUAGAGAGCCCAAAAAUAAGGCCACAAACCUACAGCCAUCUGAUCUUCAACAAAGUUGACAAAAACAAGCAAUGGGGAAAGGUCUCCCUAUUCAAUAAAUGGUGCUGGGAUAACUGGCUGGCCAUAUGCAGAAGAUCGUAACUGGACCCCUUUUACUAUGUACAAAAAUUAAGAUGGUUUAAAGAGUUAAAACCCAAAAUUAUAAAAAUCCUGAAGAUAACUUAGGCAAUACCAUUCUGGACAUAGGAACUGGCAAAUAUUUCAUGAUGAAGACACCAAAAGCAAUUGUAACAAAAGCAAAAAUGGACAAAUUGGAUUUAAGAGCUUUUUCAUAGCAAAAUAAACAACAGGGCAGACAAUCUACCAAAUGACAGAAAAUUUUUGCAAACUAUGCAUCUGACAAGGGGCUAAUAUCUAGCAUCUAUAAGGAAUUUAAACACAGUUACAGGAAAAAAAAAACCCACUCCAUUAAAAAAUGGGCAAAGGACAUGAACAGACACUUUUCAAAAAAGACAUACAUACAGCCAACUAGCGUGUUAAAGAAAACCUCAAUUAUCACUGAUCAUUAGAGAAAUGCAAAAUCAAAACCAUGAUGAGAUAUCAUCUGCCAGUCAGGAUGGCUACAAAAAAGUAAAAAAAUAAUAGAUGUUGGUGAGGUUAUGGAGAAAAGGAACUUAUACACUUGUUAGGAGUGUAAAUUAGUUCAAUCACUGUGGACAGCAGUGUGGUGAUUCCUCAGAGAGCUAAAAACAACUACCAUUUGACUCACCAAUCCCAUUACUGGAUAUUUACCUAAAGGAAUAUAAAUCAUUCCACCAUAAAGACACAUGCAAGUGUAUGUUCAUUGCAGCACUAUUAACAGUAACAAAGCUGGGCACAGUGGCUCACCUCACGACUGUAAUCCCAGCACUUUGGGAGGCUGAGGUAGGCGGAUCACCUGAGGUCGGCAGUUUGAGACCAGCCUGACCAACAUGGAGAGACCCCAUCUCUACUAAAAAUACAAAAUUAGCCAGGUGUGGUGGCUCAUGCCUGUAAUCCCAGCUACUUGGGAGGCCAAGGCAGGAGAAUUGCUUGAACCCAGGAGGCAGAGGUUGCAGUGAGCCGAGAUCACACCAUUGCACUCUAGCCUGGUGAAGGAGCAAGACUCCAUCUCAAAAAAAAAAAAAAAAAAGAAAGAAAGAAAAAUACACAUUCAGAGGAGACAAAAAAUAAAAAACAAUGAUGCAUGCCCACAGGAUCUAGAAAAUAACUUCUUAAGGGCAAAUCUAGGAGUUAUUGGCCUUAAAGAAGAGAUAGAGAAAGAGAUAGGAAUAGAAAGUUUGUUGAAAGGGAUAAUAACAUAGAACUUCCUAAACCUACAGAAAGAUAUUUAUAUCCAAGUACAAGAAGGUUAUAGAACACCAGGCCAAUUUAACCCAAAGAUUACCUCAAGGCAUUUAAUAAUCAAACUCCCACAGGACAAGGGUAAAGAAAGGAUCCUAAAAGCAGCAAGAGAAAAGAAACAGAUAACAUACAAUGGAGCUCCAAUACAUCUGGCAGUAUAUUUUUCAGUGGAAACCUUACAAGCCAGGAGAGAGUGACAUGACAUAUGUUAAAGUGCUGAAGGGAAAAAACCUUUUACCCUAGAAUAGUAUAUCCAGCAAAAAUAUCCUUCAAACAUGAAGAAUAAACAAAGACUUCCCCAGACAAACAAAAGCUGAGGGAUUUCAUCAACACUAGACUGGUCCCAUAAGAAACGCUUAAGGGAGUACUUUGGUCAGAAAGAAACAGACAUUAAUGAGCAACAAAGAAUCAUCUAAAGGUAAAAAACUCACUGUUAAGAGUAAGUACACAGAAAAACCCAAAGUGUGAUAACAUUGUAACUGUGGUGUGUAAGUAGAAAGAAUAAAUGAUAAACCAAUCAAAAAUAGUAACUACAACUUUUCAAGACCAGUCAGAAAAAUAAGAUAAAAUUAGAAACAACAAAAAGUUAAAAAGUGGGGGGAUGAAGUUAAGAUGUAGAGUUUUUAUUAGUUUUUUGUUUGUUAAUGCAAACAGUGUUACCAGGUUAAAAUAAUGGGUUACAAAAUAGUAUUUGUAAUCCUUAUGGUAACCUCAAACCUAAAAACAUACACUGGAUACAUAAAAAAUAAAAAGCAAAAACCUAAAUCAUAUCACCAGAGCAAACUACCUUCCCUAAAGGAAGACAGGAAGAAAAGAAAGAAGAAGACCACAAAACAACCAGAAAACAAAUAAAUAACAAGGCAGGAGUAAGUCUUUACUUAUCGAUAAUACAUUGAAUGGAAAUAUGGACUAAACUCUCCAAUCAAAAGACAUAGACUGGCUGAAUGAAUGGAGAAAACAAGACCCAUUGAUCUGUUGCCUACAAGAAACACACUUAAACUAUAAAGACACACAUAGGCUGAAAGUAAAGAGUUGGAAAGAGUUAUUCCAUGCCAAUGGAAACCAGGAAAAAGAGAAGGAGUAUUGAUUUUGAUACAAAAACUAUGAGACAAAUAAAGUCACUAUACAAUGAUAAAGGGGUUAAUAUGGUUUCCAUUUGUGCCCCACCCAAAUUUCGUGUUCUAUUGUAAUCCUCAAUGUUGGAGGUGGGGCCUGGUGGGACGUGAUUAGAUCAUGGGGGUGGAUCUUUCAUGACUAAUUCAGCACCAUCUUCUUAGUGCUGUUCUCAUGAUAGUGAGUUCUUCUGAAAUCUGGUUGCUUAAAAGUGUGUAGCACCUCUCCACACCACCCGCUUGCCUUGGUCUACUCCUGCUAUGUAGAUGCUUGCUCCCACUUUGCAUUAUUCCAUGAGUAAAAGCUCCCUCAGGCCUUCCCAGAAUCAGAUGCCGCUAUGCUUCCUGAACAGCCUGUGGAACUAUGAGCCAAUUCAACCUCUUUUCUUCAUAAAUUAACAAGUCUUGGGUAUUUCUUUAUAGCAGUGUGAGAACAGAAUAAUACAGAAAAUUGGUAAAGAGGAGUGAGGCAUUGCUAGAAAGAUACCUGAAAAUGUGGAAACAGCAGUGGAACUGGGAAAUAGACAGAGGUUGGAAGAGUGUGGAGGGCUCCGAAGAUAGGAAGAUGAGGGGAAGUUUGGAAUUUCUUAGAGAUUUGUUAAAUUGUUUUGACCAAAAUACUGAUGGUGAUAUGGACAAUGAAGUCCAGGCUGAGGAGGUCUCAGAUGGAGAUGAGGGACUUAUUGGGACCUGGAGUGAAGGUCACUUUUGUUAGGACAUUGUGGUUGGAGACAUUGUGCCCCUGCCCUAGGAAUCUGUGGAACUUUGAACUUGAGAGCGAAGAUUUAGGGUAUCUGGCAGAAGAAAUUUCUAAGCAGCAAAGCGUUCAAGACGUGGCCUGGCUGCUUCUGGUAGUCUGUGCUCAUAUUUGUGAGCAAAGACAUGACAAGAAACUGGAACUUAUAUUUAAAAAGGAAGCAGAGUGUAAAAGUUUGGAGAAUUUGCAGCCUGGCCAUGUUGUAGAAAAGAAAAAAACCAUUUUCUGGAGAGGAAUUCAAGCUAGCUGCAGAAAAUUGCAAGUAACAAGGAGCAAAAUGUUGAUAGCCAAGAUAGUGGGAAAAACACCUUGAAGGCAUUUCAGAUACCUUGGGGGCAGCCUCUCCCAUCACAGGCCCAAAGGCCUAGGAGGGAAGGAUGGUUUCCUGGGCCAGGCUCAGGGUCCUGCUGCCCUGCACAACCUCAGGAAACUGCUCUCCAAAUCCCAGCUGCUCCAGCUCCAGCUUCAGCUCAAAGGGCCCCAGGUAUAGCUCAGGCUGCUGCUCCAUAGGAUGCAAGUUAUAAGCCUUAGUGGCUCCCGUGUGGUGUUAAAUUAAGCCUGUAGGUGCACAGAGUGCAAGAAUUGAGGCUUGGGAGCCUCCAACUAGAUUUCAGAGUAUGUGUGGGAAAGCCUGGAUGUCCAGGCAGAAGCCAGCUGCAGGGACAGAGCCCUCAUGGAGAACCUCUACUAGGGUAGUGUGGAGGGGAAAUUUGGGGUUGGAGUUCCCACACAGCUUCCCCUCUGGUGUACUGCCUAGUGGAGCUGUGAGAAGACAGCCACUGUCCUCCAGAUUCCAGGAUGAUAGAUCUGCCAAUGACAGCUUGCACUGUACAACUGGAAAAGCCACAGGCAGUCAAUGCCAGCCCGUGAAAGCAGUGACAGUGGCUUACCCUGCAAAGUCCCAGGGGCUGAGCUGCCCAAGGCCUUGGGAGCCCACCCCUUGCACCAGUGUGCCCUGGAUGUGAGAUAUGGAGUCAAAGGAGAGUAUUUUGGAGCUUUAAGAUUUAAUGACUACCUGCUGGGUUUCAGACUUGCAUGGGUCCAGUAGCCCCUUUCUUUUGGCCAAUUUCUCACUUUUGGAAUGGGAGUGUUUACCCAAUUCCUGUACCCCCACUGUAUGUUGGAAGUAACUAACUGUUUUUUUAUUUUGUAAGCUCACAGGUGGGAGAGACUUGCCUUGUCUCAGGUUGAGACUCUGGACUUUGGACUUUUGAAUUAAUGCUGGAAUGAGUUAAGACUUUGAGGGACUGUUGGGAAGAUAUAACUGUAUUUUGCAGUAUGAGAAGGACAUGAGAUUUGGGAGACACCAGAGGUGGAAUAAUAUGAUUUGGAUCUGCAUCCCCACCAAAAUCUCAUGUUCAAUUGUAAUCCUAAAUUUUGGAGGUUGAGCCUGGUGGAAGAGGAUUGGAUAAUGGGGGUGGUUUCUCAUGGUUUAACACCAUCCCCCUGGGUGCUGUUCUCAUGACAGUGAGUGAGUUAUUGUGAGAUCUGAUUGUUUAAAAGUGUGUGCCACCUCCUCCCACUUUCCUCCUGCUCCAGCCAUGUAAGACAGGCUUGCCUCCCCUUCACCUUUUGUCAUGAUUGUAAGUGUUCUGAGGCCUCCCCAGCCAUGCUUCCUGUACAGCCUGCAGAACUGUGAGCCAAUUAAACCUCUUUUCUCUAUAUAUUACCCAGUCUCGGGUAUUUCUUUAUAGCAGUGCAAGAAUAGACUAAUACAGGGUUCAAUUCAGCAAGAGGAUAUAACAAAUAUAAAUAUAUAUGCACUCAACACUGCAGCACCCAGAUAUAUAAAGCAAAUACGAUUAGAGCUAAAGAGAGAGAGUGACCCCAAUACAAUAAUAGCUGGAGACUUCAACACCACAUUUUCAGCACUGGACAGAUCUUCCAGACAGAAAAUAAAAAAGAAACAUCAGACUUAAUCUGCACUGUAGAUCAAAUGGAUCUAAUACAUACUUGCAGAACAUUUUAUCCAAUGGCUGCAGAAUACACAUUCUUUUUUAGCACAUGUAUCAUUCUCAAGGAUAGACCAUAUGUUAGGUCACAAGUCUUAAAACAUUAAAAAAGUUGAAUACCAUCAAGCAUCUUCUCUGACCACAGUGGAAUACAACUAGAAACUAAUAACAAGAGGAAUUUUUGAAACUACAAAUACAUGAAAAUUAAACAAUAUGCUCCUGAAUGACCAUUGAGUCAAUGAAGAAAUUAAGAAGGAAAUUGAACAAUUUCUUGAAACAAAUGAUAAAGGAAACACAACAUACCAAAACCUAUGGGAUACGGCAAAAGCAGUACUAAGAGGCAAAUUGAUAGCUAUAAGUGCCUACAUGAAAAAAGAGGAAAAACUUCAAAUAAGCAAUUUAACAAUGAACCUUAACCAGAAAAGCAAGAGCAAAACAAACACAAAAUUAGAAGAAAACAAAUAAUAAAAAUUAGAGCAUAAAUAAAUAAAAUUGAAAUAAAAAUCAAUGCAAAAGAACAAUGAAACAAAAAGUUGCUUUUUUUCAAAAGUUAAACAAAACUGACAAGCCUUUAGCAAGACUGAGAAAAAAGAGACAAGAUACAAAUCAGAAAUGAAAAAGACAUUACAACUGACACUGCAGAAAUUCAAAGGAUCAUUAGGGGCUACUAUGAGCAACUCUAUGCCAAUAAAUUGGAAAAUCUAGAAGAAAUUGACAAUUCCUAGACACAUACAACCUACUGAGACUGGACCAGGAAGAAAUCCAAAACCUGAACAGACUAAUAACAAGUAACAAGGUUGAAGCCAUAAUAAAAAGUCUCCCACUAAAGAAAACCAAGGACCCGAUGGCUUCACUGUUGAAUUCUACCAAACAUUUAAAGAAGAACUAAUACCAAUCCCACUCAAGCUAUUGAAAAAUAGAGGAGGAGAGAAUAUUUCCAAAGUCAUUCUAGGAGACCAGUAUCACCCUGAUACCAAAACCAGACAAAGACACAUCAAAAAAAGAAAACUGCUGGCCAAUUUCUCUGAUGAAUAUUGAUGCCAGAAUCCUCAGCAAAAUAUUAGCAAACUAAAUUCAACAAUACAUUAAAAAGAUCAUUCAUCAGGGUCGGGUGCAGUGGCUUAAGCCUCUAAUCCCAGCACUUUGGGAGGCCGAGGUGGGCAGAUCACCUGAGGUCAGGAGUUCAAGACCAGCCUGACCAACAUGGUGAAACCUCGUCUCUACUGAAAAUACAAAAUUAGCCGAGUGUGGUGGUGCAUGCCUGUAAUCCCAGCUACUCAGGAGACUGAGGCAGGAGAAUCACUUGAACCCAGGAGGUGGAGGUUGCAGUGAGCUGAGAUUGUGGCACUGCACUCCAGCCUUGGUGACAGAGUGAGACUCCAUUAAAAAAAAAAUCAUUUAUCAUGACCAAGUGGGAUUUAUCCCUGGAAUGCAAGGAUGGUUCAACACAUGCAAAUCAAUCAAUGUAAUACAUCAUAUCAAAAAGAAUGAUUAAAACCAUAUGAUUAUUUCUAUUGAUGCUGAAAAAGUAGUUUAUAAAAUCCAACAUCCCUUCAUGAUAAAAACCCUCAAAAAACUGUAUAAAAGAAAUAUACCUCAACGUAAUAGCCAGAUAUGACAGACCCACAGCUAGUAUCAUACUGAAUGGGGAAAAAGUGAAAGACUUUCCUAUAAGAUCUGGAACACAACAGGGAUGUUCACUGUCACCACUGUUAUUCAACAAAGUACUGGAUGUUCUAGCUAGAGCGAUCAGACAAGAGAAGAUAUAAAGGCCAUCCAAACUGGAAAGGGAGAAGUUAAAUUACCCUAGUUUGCAGAUGAUAUGAACUUAUAUUUGGAAAAAACCUAAAGGCUCCACAGGAAAACUAUUAGAAUCAAUAAAUUCAGUAAAGUUGCAGGACACAAAAUCAACAUAUAAAAACCAGUAGCAUUUCUAUAUGUCAACAGUGAACAAUUUGAAAAAUUUUAAAUUUAAGAAGGUAAUUUCAUUUACAAUAGCCACACAUAAAAUUAAAUACCUAGGAAUUAACCAAAAAUGUGCAAGAUAUCUAUGAGGAGAAUUAUAAAACAUUGAUGAAAGAAAUUGAAGAGGACACAAAAAAAAUGGAAAAAAUUCCAUCUUUAUGGAUUGGAAGAAUCAAUAUUGUUAAAAUGUCCAUACUACCCAAAGCAAUCUACAGAUUUAAUGCAAUCCCUAUCAAAAUACCAAUAAUAGUCUUCAGAGAAAUAGAAAAAAAAAUCCCAAAAUUUAUAUGAAAACACAGAAUGCCCAGAAUAGCCAAAAUUAUAUUAAGCAAAAAGAUCAAAACUGGAGGAAUCACAUUACCUGACUUCAAAUUAUGCUACAGAGCUAUAAUCACCAAAACAGCAUGGUACUGACAUAAAAACAGACACAUAGUCCAACAGAACAGAAUAGAGAACCUAGAAACAAAUCCACACACUCACAGGGAACUCAUUUUUGACAGAGUUGCCAAGUACUUAUACUGGAGAAAAGAAAAGACAGUCUCUUCAAUGAAAUGGUGCUGGGAAAACUGGAUAUCCAUAUGCAGAAGAAUGAAACUAGACCCCUACCUCUCACUGUAGACAAAAGUCAAAUCAAGGCUAGGCAUGGUGGCUUACACCUGUAAUCUCAGCACUUUGGGAGGCUGAGGCAGGCGUAUCACGAGGUGAAGAGAUUGAGACCAUCCUGACCAACAUGGUGAAACUCACCCCCCCCCACCCACUAAAAAUACAAAAAUUAGCUGGGCGUGAUGGCAUGUGCCUGCAGUCCUAGCUACUCAGGAGGCUGGGGCAGGAGAAUCGCUUGAACCCAGGAGGUGGAGGUUGCAGUGAGCUGAGAUUGUGCCACUGCACUCCAGCCUGGCGACAGAGCAAGACUCCAUCUCAAAAAAUAAAAAAUAAAUUCAAAAUGUAAUAAAGACUUAAAUCUAAGACCUCAAACAUGAAACUACUAUAAGAAAACAUUGGGGAAAACCUCCAGGACAGUAGUCUGGCCAAAAAUUUCUUGAGCAAUACCCCACAAGCACAGGCAACCAAAAUAAAACUGGACAAAUAGUAUCACAUCAAGUUUAAAAGCUUCUACAAAGCAAAGGAUACAAUCAAUAAAGAGACAACCCACAGAAUGGGAGAAAAUAUUUGCAAACUACCCAUCUGACAAAGAAAUAAUAACCAGAGUAUAUAAGAAGCUCAAACAACUCUAUAGUAAAAAAAAAAAAAAAAAAAAUUCUAAAAGUCUAAGUAAAAAAAUGGGCAAAAGAUUUGAAUAGACAUUUCUCAAAAGAAGACAUACAGGCCAUGCGUGGUGGCUCAUGCCUGUAAUCCCAGCACUUUGGGAGGCCCAGGCGGGUGGAUCACUUGAGGUCAGGAGUUCGAGACCAGCCUGACCAACAUUGUGAAACUCCGUCUCUACUAAAAAUACAAAAAUAAGCCAGGCAUGGUGGCGCACACCUGUAAUCCCAGCUACUCAGGAGGCUGAGGCAGGAGAAUCGCUUAAACCUGGGAGACAGAGGUUGCAGUAAGCCGAGAUCACACCACUGCACUCCAGCCUGGGCAACAAAGUGAGACUCCGUCUCACAAAAAAAAAAAAAAAAAAAAAAAAAAAAGAAAAGAAAAAGGAAGAAGACAUACAAAGCCAGGUACAGUGGCUUAUGCCUCUAAUCCUAGCACUUUAGGAGGCCAAGGCAGAUGGAAUUGAGCCCAGAAGUUUGAGACCAGACUGAGCAAUAUGGUCAAACCCCAAUUCUGCAAAAUACAAAAAUAAAAAAUAGCUGGGAGUGGUGGUGCACACCUGUAGUCCCAGCUACUUAGGAAGCUGAGAUGGGAGGAUCACUUGAGCCUGCAGUGAAUCAUAAUUGCACCAAUGCACUCCAGCCUGGGCGACAGAGUGAGAGACAUUGUCUCAAAAAAAAGAAAAAGAAAAAAAAGAAAGGACAUAAAAAUGACAAACAGGCAUAUGAAAAGGUGCUGAUGAUUAUUGAUCCUCAGAGAAAUGCAAAUCAAAACUGCAAUGAGAUAUAAUCUCACCCCAGUUAAAAUGGCUUAUAUCCAAAAGACAGGCAAUAACAAAUGCUGGUGAGGAUGUGGAUAAAAGGGAACCCUCGUACACUGUUGAUGGGAAUGUAAAUUAGUACAACCACUAUGGAUAACAGUUUAGAGGUUCCUCAGAAAACUAAAAAUUGAGUUGCGAUAUGAUGCAACAAUCCUACUGCUGGGUAUAUACCCCACAAAAGACAAAACCAGCGUUUUGCAUGGUGGCUCACACCUGUAAUCCCAGCACUAUGGGAGGCCGAGGAGGGCAGAUCACUUGAGCCCAGAAGUUCAAGACCAGCCCGAGCAACAUGGCAAAACCUGAUUUCUACAAAAUACAAAAAAAAAAUUAGGCAGUUGUAGUGGUUCACACCUAUAGUCCUAGCUACUGUGGAGGCUGAGGUAGGAUCACUUGAACCUAGGAGGUGGAGGUUGCAGUGAGCCAAGAUCAUGCCACUGCACUCCAGCCUGGGUGACAAAGUGUGACCCUGUCUCAAAAAAGAAAAUCAGUAUAUGGAAGAGGUAUCUGCACUCCUAUGUUUUUUACAACACUGUUUACAAUAGCUAAGAUUUGGAAGCAACCUAAAUGUCUAACAGCAGAUGAAUGGAUAAGGAAAAUUUGGUAUGUAUACACAAUGAAGUACUAUUCAGCCAUAAAAAGGAAUGAGAUCCAGUCAUUUGCAACAGCAUGGAUGGAAGUGGAGAUCAUUAUGUUAAAUGAAAUAAGCCAGGCACAGAAAGGCAAACAUGGCAUGUUCUCACUUAUUUGUGGGACCUAAAUUCAAAACAAUUGAACUAAUGGACAUAAAGAGUAGAAGAAUGGUUACCAGAGGCUAGGAAUGGUAGUGGGGGGCUGAAGGGAAGGUGGGGAUGUUUAAUCGGUAAAAAAAAAUUUAGAAGAAUAAGACCUACUAUUUGAUAGCACAAUAGGGGGACUAUAGUCAAUAAUGCACAUUUAAAAAUAGUGUAAUUGAAUGGUUUGUAACUCAAAGGAUAAAUGCUUGAGGGAAUGGAUACCCCAUUCUCCAUGAUGUGCUUAUUUCACAUUGCAUACCUGUAUCAAAACAUCUCAUGUACCCCAUAAAUAUAUGCAGCUAUUAUGUACCCAC